CCGGUUGGACGCGCCCUCCCGGCCUGCUGGCUGCUGGCUCUGCAGUUUUCCAAAUGCGGACGGAGCCGCGAGCCAGGAGCAAACUCCAAAGCACCCCCGUAGGAAGCACGCGGCCGCGGCUCCCACCCACCGGCAGGCACACCCCCACCGCGGCGGCCGGCAAGUUUGUGGGGCCGUCCGGCGGCUGGGCAGGACUCACCGCGGAGCCCCUCCGGCCGGGCUGGCGACAGCGGCGGCAGCGGGCGCAGGGUCGCGGCUCCCGCACGAGCAUUUCCGGGCAUUCCAGAAGCUUCUGUGCGGAUUACGUGUUGGUCUCUAAAGCAUCACUAAGAGCCUCCGUCCACGAGUGAGGACGCGACCCGGUGUCCUGGGUCCUCUCUCCCCCAGAGGCUUCCCCCGGCGGUCGGGGGGCACCAGCCACUCCCCCGCGGGCCAGAGAGAAGACAAGGUGCGGAGCUCACGUCCAGGAGGAGAAGGCGCUGGUCGCAGCGCCCCAGCCGUGCUGCUGGUGGGAGCGGGUGGCGGUCAGCAGGGUGGCCGUUUUGACUUGAAGUCCCCGGGGUCAUUUCAGUAGCCUGACCCCGACCUGUUCCCCCACAACCUCCCUGGUGCCAGGUCCCGUCGGGGCGACCCCUUCCGACACAGCCCCUGGAAGCCCAGGCCCCGCCUGCAGGGUCACCGAGCGCCCGGCCCGGCUGCAGGGGCGGCCCUGACACCCUGCGCCCCCCUCGGCUCCCUGCGGCGUCUCCUGCCGAGGCCGGGUCCCCGGGGGGGGGGGGCAGAGUCAGGUGACGGGACAGCCCCCUCCCCAGCCCGCGGGCUCCCGGGGCACCCGGACUCUGGAGCAGAGGCGGGAGGAACCCUGGCAGGUGGGGAGGAAGGCGGCGGCACCCACGGGCGUGGCCACCGCCACUGAGCACCUGCUGUAUCCGGCACCUCCCACUCCGUAGCGUGUGCGUCUCAUGAUCCCGUGGCCUGGCUCGGGCUUCAGGCCUGGAGCCGGGGCCCGGGUGCAGCCCAGCGGCAGGGCCGCCCGCUGACUUCCGACCAGGCCUCCCGGGGCUCCCCGCUGCCCCCGCCCCCCAGCGCCCCUCCAGCCAGACCCUGAGCGCCAGGAGCUGGGAUCACCACCUAGACCAGGCGCUGAUGGGUUGAAAGGCGAAACCUGA
Molecule: long non-coding RNA, 1169 nt
Filed under: Canis lupus familiaris (dog)
Lineage: Eukaryota; Metazoa; Chordata; Mammalia; Carnivora; Canidae
Description: lncRNA (ENSCAFG00845017300.1)
Source: RNAcentral